Molecule: unclassified non-coding RNA, 219 nt
Filed under: soil metagenome
Description: partial contains 5.8S ribosomal RNA, internal transcribed spacer 2, and large subunit ribosomal RNA
Source: RNAcentral
AAGACUAUAGACCUGCGGAGUACCUGCGGAAGGAUCAUUACAGGACUCGCAAGACUCCUACAACCCUGUGAACCUACUAUACGAACGUUGCUUCGGCGGGUGCGCCCCGGGGAUUCGUUCCCGCGGCGCGUCAGCCCGCCGGCAGCCUACAAAUUCUGUUUCUUUGCGUUGGCAUCUCGAGAAAAACAAAUAAGUUAAAACUUUUAACAAUGGAUCUCU